RNAcentral lists this transfer RNA (76 nucleotides) under Myxococcales bacterium. RNAcentral's name for it is "tRNA-Met". It matches the Rfam family "tRNA". From Rfam's summary of the family: Transfer RNA (tRNA) molecules are approximately 80 nucleotides in length. Their secondary structure includes four short double-helical elements and three loops (D, anti-codon, and T loops). Lineage: Bacteria; Pseudomonadati; Myxococcota; Myxococcia; Myxococcales. The record is from RNAcentral.
GGCUGGUAGAGCAGUCCGGUCGCUCGUCGGGCUCAUAACUCGGAGGUCGCGGGUUCGAAUCCCGCUCCCGCUACCA